Alligator mississippiensis (American alligator) is the source of this 2224-nucleotide long non-coding RNA. RefSeq lists it as uncharacterized. The record is from RefSeq and is a predicted model, not a curated record. The transcript is spliced from 2 exons. Lineage: Eukaryota; Metazoa; Chordata; Crocodylia; Alligatoridae.
GACCACCAAACCAUGUGGCACCCACAAGGACAGCCCAGCCUGAAGAAGGAGAACAUUGGGAACCUGAAAGCCAUGGGGAGGCCAGCACAACAGAACAGAAUGCUGUUUCUGCAGCACAGAAAAGAUCUGAAAACAGAGGAUUAGAAUGGAAGUGCCUUCUCAGCCUUCACUACAGGUACCAAUGCAGUGCUAGAAUAUCAGCCUGUGGAUUCAUUUUCUAUAAUGUGUAAAUGAAGAGUAGUUAAUCAUGUUGAUCAUAGGGUGAUUGUUCAAUGGAGAAAGGGUGUAAAUAAUUACUAGUCACACUGGGGUAACUCCAGGCCUUGUGUUUCCUGAAAUAUUAUGCCCCAGUAAACGGUGAAUUUGUACAAAAUGUCUCUUUUCCCAGCAAGUUGGUUAUUAAGGACUCAGCUUAGAGCACUGCAUUUAUAGUCAGGUUUUGAAAAAGAAAAGAAGUGAAAUGCACUCCCUUGCAAAAAAUAAUGCACUCAUCCAAAUGUAUGUUCUUUUCUGUACAUGAGGACUUGCACACAGCACACUAGAUAUUUACAUGAGCAAUGGUAUAUUUUACAGAAAUGUGAUGAACCAUGUUUUGCAAAAUCAUAUAUGUGUGCAUUUACAGCAUACACGUGUGUGUGUAUGUGAGUUGUAUAUGUGGGUCUCUGCUUUCAAUUUUUAAAACUAUUUUGGAUGGUGGGGUUUUAUAGCAAUAUGAUGGAAUGCUUUAUUGCAAACUUGGCUUCAUUUUUCUGCUGUAGUCAUUGUAUUUCCUUUUGAAACAUGUGAGACACCACAACAGUGCAAUGAUUACCCUCUUCACAUAUUAUAUGGUGCUUUGUGGACUUUUGGUAGUGGCAUAUAGCUAUUAUUUUUUAAUGUAUCUUGGCAUUGGCUGUUCCUCCUUAAUAAGUUCAUGUUAUUCCUUCCACAACUUAUUCACACCACCUUCUAGAGGUCAUUAUGACCUACUGGUAUGUGAAAGAUGUGCCCUCACUGCCUUAACAACUCCAAGUUCUGCCACCGCUUCCACACCUGAGUCCUCAGGAUUGAAUUUGAACAGAAAGAUUGUUGCAAUCUUGCCAAAGAGGUCUAACCCUCAUUCUGCUUUGUGUGCCUGGGAGGACAAUUUACUGCAUCAGUCCUGCUUGCUCUUUGGUGCCCUCUGGGCUUUAUAUUAAUUUGUAGCUGAAAAAUAUUCCCAAAUGCUAAUGAUUGUACCUUGCCAUCUUGAUGGCUUAGGGAGCUUGUGAUUACCUGCUGAUUUUCACUAUGAAACUGAAAAUGUCAGAACCAAAAAUAGAAGGGUAAAAGAGAGAUUCAACAUCAUUCAACAACCAUUUGAUUUCUCUCUUUUCCCCACUUUUGACAGAAGCCAAAGCUAGUCAGCAUAUUUUACACACACUUCCUCACCACAUUCACACUUGUACCCAGGCCCACUCAAACUGGCCUCUAAUCUUGAACCCCCAAUUUUGACAGUCAGCAUAAUACAAUUUAACUUUAAUGAAUUUGCAGAAAUGUUGUUGAACCAGACCAGAUAACUGGGUGCUUAACCCCUCUCAUUCCUGUCUGAAUAAUGGGACAUACCAUCGUAGAGCUGUUUUUUUAAAGUUUGGUUCUCAAACACCUUCUAGGGCAAGUUUUCCUGGUACAUAAAGCUACUCUAGCAUUAAAUUAAAUUAAAGCCCAUUAUACAAAUCUCCCUGUUGUGUCACAAAAUCCCUGGAUUGCCUCUAUCGGCUUUAUAUGUUCAUAGAAGACUGAGGAUAUCAUUGCUUUUGGCAUCCACUGUGCUUUUGAAUGGAUGUUUGACAUCAUCUGAGGUUGUUUGCGGAUGGAUUACCUGUAACCUUUUGUGCUGAUCAUUUUGACUUUUUAUUAUACCUUUUGGGGAAAAGAAAUGUUGAUCUGAUUACAAGGGAUGUUUUAAUGGAAUCUGCCUGUCAAAUAAUGAAAUUGAGAGUGAUUUUAUUGAGUAGGUACAUCAUAAAAAGGUGAACAUUAUGUACAAGGGAGAUAAUAUAUUUUGUCAGGGCACCAAACAGACAUCCACUGGUUUGAAUGCAAUGCUCUGGGUGUUUCUUUAAAAUGUGAAAUUAGUCAUGAGAAUUAUAAGACAUUGUUAAACAGAGCAAACCAGCAUCUUAGAACUAUAAUAUUAAAAACACAAGAGGAAAGAAAAUGGAUGGAAAAAAAAUAAAAAGGAACACUUGGGAAAUUAACUAGA